Molecule: long non-coding RNA, 647 nt
Organism: Pocillopora damicornis (cauliflower coral)
Lineage: Eukaryota; Metazoa; Cnidaria; Anthozoa; Scleractinia; Pocilloporidae
Source: RefSeq, a predicted model, not a curated record
CUAGCUUUGAAUAUGAUUUUUGUGGUUCAAUUUAUUCCCUCAGUCCCCUUUUCAUAUACAUAUACUUUUAGUUUCCCUGUGUUUUACCUCGUACUUAUGGCUGGUGACCAGUUUGAAACACGGAACACAAAGAGAAAACCAAGGGAAACUUUAAGGUUUUGAUGGCACUAAGUGAUCUACUUUUUGACUUUUUAGAUUAAAGUUUAUCACUGCUAGACCAACAAUUAUUUAUGGGAAAGCUGACAGGAACUUCAUUAUGAUAAUCACUUGUUCGUUAACGGAUCAAAGAUUGAAGAAUCGGGUUUUAGCUACAAUUAUCCCGAACUUACAGGGGAAGUGCUUAGAGAGAUUCUUGAUGACUAUGUUGAAACAGGGUUAUUUCCACCUUCGCUGGUCCAUGCAAGAUGAUGACGACAUGAUGGCUAUUCGCUAAAUUAUAUUUUUCUUCAUGCGACUUCUGAUUAUCCAGAGGGAAACCUAGAAAAAAAAGAUUAUUUGAAUCCCAAUAACCUCGCUAGGGAAUCUGAUGUUGAUGCCAACUAACUAAUAACUAAAGGUUCUUCCCCUGAAUCGAGAAUGCCUUUACCUAACAUGAAAGAGUGUCAUUGGCGGCAAAUCUUCUUUUGCCGCGAUGUUUCGAGAAUUCA